This 84-nucleotide transfer RNA is filed under the name Prosthecobacter vanneervenii. It matches the Rfam family "tRNA". Rfam says of the family: Transfer RNA (tRNA) molecules are approximately 80 nucleotides in length. Their secondary structure includes four short double-helical elements and three loops (D, anti-codon, and T loops). The record is from Rfam by way of RNAcentral. Lineage: Bacteria; Pseudomonadati; Verrucomicrobiota; Verrucomicrobiia; Verrucomicrobiales; Verrucomicrobiaceae.
GCCGGCGUGGUGAAAUUGGUAGACGCGCUAGACUCAAAAUCUUGUAUCCGUGAGGAUGUGUCGGUUCGAGUCCGACCGCCGGCA